AACGAACGCUGGCGGCAUGCCUAACACAUGCAAGUCGAACGAGACCUUCGGGUCUAGUGGCGCACGGGUGCGUACCGCGUGGGAACCUGCCCUUAGGUUCGGAAUCACUCCCCGAAAGGGGUGCUAAUACCGGAUAAUGUCUUCGGACCAAAGAUUUCUCGCCUUUGGAUGGGCCCGCGUUGGAUUAGCUAGUUGGUAGGGUAAAAGCCUACCAAGGCGACGAUCCAUAGCUGGUCUGAGAGGAUGAUCAGCCACACUGGGACUGAGACACGGCCCAGACUCCGACGGGAGGCAGCAGUGGGGAAUAUUGGACAAUGGGCGAAAGCCUGAUCCAGCAAUGCCGCGUGAGUGAUGAAGGCCUUAGGGUUGUAAAGCUCUUUUACCCGGGAUGAUAAUGACAGUACCGGGAGAAUAAGCUCCGGCUAACUCCGUG
This 433-nucleotide ribosomal RNA is filed under the name uncultured bacterium. RNAcentral's name for it is "partial 16S ribosomal RNA". It matches the Rfam family "Bacterial small subunit ribosomal RNA", at positions 29 to 507 of the family's 1533-position model. The record is from RNAcentral.